UACGGAGGGGGCUAGCGUUGUUCGGAAUUACUGGGCGUAAAGCGCACGUAGGCGGCUUUGUACGUUAGAGGUGAAAGCCCAGGGCUCAACCCUGGAAUUGCCUUUAAGACUGCAUCGCUAGAAUUGUGGAGAGGUAAGUGGAAUUCCGAGUGUAGAGGUGAAAUUCGUAGAUAUUCGGAAGAACACCAGUGGCGAAGGCGACUUACUGGACACAUAUUGACGCUGAGGUGCGAAAGCGUGGGGAGCAAACAGG
RNAcentral lists this ribosomal RNA (253 nucleotides) under uncultured bacterium. Its description in RNAcentral is "partial 16S ribosomal RNA". It matches the Rfam family "Bacterial small subunit ribosomal RNA", at positions 524 to 776 of the family's 1533-position model. The record is from RNAcentral.